RNAcentral lists this ribosomal RNA (490 nucleotides) under uncultured bacterium. Its description in RNAcentral is "partial 16S ribosomal RNA". It matches the Rfam family "Bacterial small subunit ribosomal RNA", at positions 30 to 507 of the family's 1533-position model. The record is from RNAcentral.
AUUGAACGCUGGCGGCAGGCCUAACACAUGCAAGUCGAACGGUAACGGGAAACAGCUUGCUGUUUCGCUGACGAGUGGCGGACGGGUGAGUAAUGUCUGGGAAACUGCCUGAUGGAGGGGGAUAACUACUGGAAACGGUAGCUAAUACCGCAUAACGUCGCAAGACCAAAGAGGGGGACCUUCGGGCCUCUUGCCAUCGGAUGUGCCCAGAUGGGAUUAGCUAGUAGGUGGGGUAACGGCUCACCUAGGCGACGAUCCCUAGCUGGUCUGAGAGGAUGACCAGCCACACUGGAACUGAGACACGGUCCAGACUCCUACGGGAGGCAGCAGUGGGGAAUAUUGCACAAUGGGCGCAAGCCUGAUGCAGCCAUGCCGCGUGUAUGAAGAAGGCCUUCGGGUUGUAAAGUACUUUCAGCGGGGAGGAAGGGAGUAAAGUUAAUACCUUUGCUAAUUGACGUUACCCGCAGAAGAAGCACCGGCUAACUCCGUG